UACGGAGGGUGCAAGCGUUGUCCGGAUUUAUUGGGUUUAAAGGGUGCGUAGGCGGCCCGGUAAGUCAGUGGUGAAAGCCUCCAGCUCAACUGGAGAACUGCCAUUGAUACUGCCGGGCUUGAGUACAGACGAGGUUGGCGGAAUUGAUUGUGUAGCGGUGAAAUGCAUAGAUACAAUCAAGAACUCCGAUUGCGUAGGCAGCUAACUAGGCUGUAACUGACGCUGAGGCACGAAAGCGUGGGGAUCAAACAGG
RNAcentral lists this ribosomal RNA (253 nucleotides) under uncultured bacterium. RNAcentral's name for it is "partial 16S ribosomal RNA". It matches the Rfam family "Bacterial small subunit ribosomal RNA", at positions 524 to 776 of the family's 1533-position model. The record is from RNAcentral.